UACGGAGGGUGCAAGCGUUGUCCGGAUUUAUUGGGUUUAAAGGGUGCGUAGGCGGCUCAUUAAGUCUGGGGUGAAAGCCCGUUGCUCAACAACGGAACUGCCCUGGAAACUGAGGAGCUUGAGUACAGACGAGGUUGGCGGAAUGGACGGAGUAGCGGUGAAAUGCAUAGAUACCGUCCAGAACCCCGAUUGCGAAGGCAGCUGACUAGGCUGUUACUGACGCUGAGGCACGACAGCGUGGGGAGCGAACAGG
This 253-nucleotide ribosomal RNA is filed under the name uncultured bacterium. RNAcentral describes it as "partial 16S ribosomal RNA". It matches the Rfam family "Bacterial small subunit ribosomal RNA", at positions 524 to 776 of the family's 1533-position model. The record is from RNAcentral.